Molecule: ribosomal RNA, 772 nt
Filed under: uncultured bacterium
Lineage: Bacteria
Description: bacterial SSU rRNA
Rfam family: Bacterial small subunit ribosomal RNA
Source: RNAcentral
AGAGUUUGAUCAUGGCUCAGAAUCAACGCUGGCGGCGUGCCUAACACAUGCAAGUCGCACGAGAAAGUGGAGCAAUCCAUGAGUAAAGUGGCGUACGGGUGAGUAACACGUGACUAACCUACCUUCGAGUGGGGAAUAACCUCGGGAAACCGGGGCUAAUACCGCAUAACAUCUUCUGGCUGAGAUGCCGGUUGAUCAAAGUAGUAAUGCGCUUGAAGAGGGGGUCGCGGCUGAUUAGCUAGUUGGUGGGGUAACGGCCCACCAAGGCGAUGAUCAGUAGCCGGCCUGAGAGGGCGCACGGCCACACUGGAACUGAAACACGGUCCAGACUCCUACGGGAGGCAGCAGUGGGGAAUUUUGCGCAAUGGGGGAAACCCUGACGCAGCAACGCCGCGUGGAGGAUGAAGUCCCUUGGGACGUAAACUCCUUUCGAUCGGGACGAUUAUGACGGUACCGGAAGAAGAAGCCCCGGCUAACUUCGUGCCAGCAGCCGCGGUAAUACGAGGGGGGCAAGCGUUGUUCGGAAUUACUGGGCGUAAAGGGCGCGUAGGCGGUUUGCUAAGUUGGAUGUGAAAACUCUGGGCUUAACCCAGAGCCUGCAUCCAAAACUGGCAAACUUGAGUACUGGAGGGGAAAGCGGAAUUCCUGGUGUAGCGGUGAAAUGCGUAGAUAUCAGGAGGAACACCGGUGGCGAAGGCGGCUUUCUGGACAGUAACUGACGCUGAGGCGCGAAAGCUAGGGGAGCAAACAGGAUUAGAUACCCUAGUAGUCC